Molecule: ribosomal RNA, 433 nt
Filed under: uncultured bacterium
Lineage: Bacteria
Description: partial 16S ribosomal RNA
Rfam family: Bacterial small subunit ribosomal RNA
Source: RNAcentral
AACGAACGCUGGCGGCAUGCCUAACACAUGCAAGUCGAACGAGACCUUCGGGUCUAGUGGCGCACGGGUGCGUAACGCGUGGGAACCUGCCCUUAGGUUCGGAAUAACUCCCCGAAAGGGGUGCUAAUACCGGAUAAUGUCUUCGGACCAAAGAUUUAUCGCCUUUGGAUGGGCCCGCGUUGGAUUAGCUAGUUGGUAGGGUAAAAGCCUACCAAGGCGACGAUCCAUAGCUGGUCUGAGAGGAUGAUCAGCGACACUGGGACUGAGACACGGCCCAGACUCCUACGGGAGGCAGCAGUGGGGAAUAUUGGAAAAUGGGCGAAAGCCUGAUCCAGCAAUGCCGCGUGAGUGAUGAAGGCCUUAGGGUUGUAAAGCUCUUUUACCCGGGAUGAUAAUGACAGUACCGGGAGAAUAAGCUCCGGCUAACUCCGUG